CAAAUUAUGCGUAGUCUUCGGAUUCAUCUUAUAGAUAAUUCUUACAGGAUGGCAUUUUGGGGAAUAUUAUCCCCCAACUACAGCCGACUUUGUAGCCAUGGGGAUGCUUUUCUUCUUUGGUUGACUUUUAUAGAUAAAUUUGAGUCUUGGUUUUGAUUGUCAAAAUUCAUUUUUUUCCUAUUUUAUUAGUUUCAGUGUAGCUGAAUGUGUUCUUCUAAACUUUUAAUACAAAUUUAGCCCCAUUUUUAAAUAUGAUUACGACAUGUUUUGAUCCUUUCGAUAUUACUCUAAUGACUAAAAUAAGUUCUUGAGUAAUUUUUUUCAUUCUCUAAACAUUCAAUGCAUUGCUUUUUAGUUUUUUUUUUCUCUUCUUAUUUUAUGACUGACGACAUGGAAAAUUUGUAGGAGAGUAUUGGAGGAUUUGGGUUUUUUUGAAUCUCCCUUCUCCAGAAUUCUGUUCUUUCUACUUGAAGUUGGCUUGAAGAUGGCUAGGUGCCAUGAAAGCAAUCAUUCUACUGAAAGCCAUUUUUACAUUUUCUUGUCUGUUGUACAAAUGUUCCUUUUCUUUCAUGUAAAAAAUAAUAUUCUAAGCUGAAGGUGAAUGAAUGUAAUCCCCAGAAACUGGUAUCUUCAUUGUAAAGGUGUAUGAAUUUAUACUUUUUAAAUGGAAAGGAUAUUAUGUAAUUUCAUUUAAAAA
Coffea arabica (coffee) is the source of this 697-nucleotide long non-coding RNA. RefSeq lists it as uncharacterized. The record is from RefSeq and is a predicted model, not a curated record. Lineage: Eukaryota; Viridiplantae; Streptophyta; Magnoliopsida; Gentianales; Rubiaceae.